This 116-nucleotide non-coding RNA is filed under the name Lankesteria abbotti. Lineage: Eukaryota; Apicomplexa; Conoidasida; Eugregarinorida; Lecudinidae. The record is from RNAcentral.
UUUUUUUUUUUUUUUUUUUUUGAUACCAAUUGUUGCUGCACUCCUGGGGAAAAAUCAAUUUUUCAAAAAAACAAUAACCAAACAUUUUUGGAAACCAGGAAUGAAAAGUGGCUUUU